RNAcentral lists this long non-coding RNA (1143 nucleotides) under Ficedula albicollis (Collared flycatcher). RNAcentral describes it as "lncRNA (ENSFALG00000025728.1)". The record is from RNAcentral. Lineage: Eukaryota; Metazoa; Chordata; Aves; Passeriformes; Muscicapidae.
AUGACACACAGCCUGGGCUGGAAACAGCAUCGCUUACUCCGCCCAGGUUUGAGCUUUCUCAGGACUGCGGCGUUUCAGGGGAUGUUGCACAACCACCUCCGGAACACCCGAGCGCGGCACCACCCCAAAGCCGGGCAGGGAUGCUCCAGAGAGGCAGCGCCUGCUGGCACCACGGAUCCAUCCCAGGGAUGCUCAUCCCACAGGCCUGAGCCCCAUUUCUCCCCUCUUGCAGCCCCCUGGGCAGAUGUUUUGGGACAGGGAGGGGCUGGGGUUUGGGGUUUGGGGUGCGGGGGGUUGUUGACGCCCCGAGCCCGUUCCUGCGGAUGUGCCUCUUGCAGCACCUUCCUGCGGCUGCGGCUGCGCCGGGGGGGGGGGGGGGGGGGGGGGGGGGUGCGGCUGCGCCUCCCGCCCGGAGCCUGCGGUUGGGGCGGGGGAUUUCCUGCCGUGCCAAUGCCACGAGGCCGGGACAACACCCAGGACAACACCCAGCAGCCCCCCGAGAGCCCCUCCGAGCAUCCUGGGGAUGGUGCAGAGAGGAGGAGCCCGGCACGAGGGUUGUGCAAAAACAUCAAGUCAGGCCCUCACCCUCCUCCUCCUCCUCCUCGUGUGCUAAGGCAUUUCCCGUGUGGAGGUAUCUCCGGGCACCCUGGCCCCCUCCCUGGCCAUGCCCACACCGUGCCCGGGGGGGUGGCAUCCCUGGCACCAGGUUCGCCGUCACUUCUGCUUUCGGAGCGACGCGAACCCCGGCGCGCAGCUGCUCCGUGGGGCCGCCGGCGGGGCCGAGCCGGGGGCCGUCACUUCUGCUUUCGGAGCGACGCGAACCCCGGCGCGCAGCUGCUCCGUGGGGCCGCCGGUGGGGCCGAGCCGGGGGCUCCCACCAGGGCAGGAAGCCCCUUUUUGGGGUGCAGCCCACACCCUGCCACUCUCCUCGAGGGGUGCCCGCAGUCCCCCAGCCCUCGGUGGCCCCGCUCUCGGCGUGACGUCCUUCCCCCCGCGGGCUCUGCAAACCGCAGCCGCUUUUCCGCGCUCGCUCCCCGCCCCGCCCGGCCGGAGGUGCAGGCGGACGGUGCCCACGACGCCCCAGCGGGUGGGUGCCGCUCCUGGGGCUGCCCCCGGCCCCCCGUGCCAGCCCCUCGCCGGUGA